AUGAAGGGAGACUACCAGCAGAGCGGCCGCAAGCGCACCACUGAGACCCACGACCACGCCAUCUGCGGCUCGUCCGCCGCUUCCCGCCGCAUGGCCUACUUGACCGAGCCCGCUACGUUCGUCUCCGCCGGCAUGGGCCACGGGCAGGGGAUCGCCGAACGGGUCAGGGUCCGCGAGCUUGAUAUGGCCGGGCGCCGCCGUCUGGCCUCUGUUGUUGUUACAGAUCCGGGCGCGGGGCUGCCCCCAGGGUACCUGGAGCACAACAAGGCUGGGGCCAAGAUGAUGGCUGCGAUGGGGUACAAGGUCGGCAUGGGCCUCGGCAAGUACCAGGAUGGGAUCCGCAUGCCGCUGGCGCUCCCUCGUAGAGCUUGGCUCGGCAGCAUCCAGGACCCCAUGCCCUCCUCUGCUACGGACAACCUGCCAAAUCCAUGA
Molecule: ribosomal RNA, 432 nt
Filed under: Triticum aestivum (bread wheat)
Lineage: Eukaryota; Viridiplantae; Streptophyta; Magnoliopsida; Poales; Poaceae
Description: partial small subunit ribosomal RNA
Source: RNAcentral